CAUCAGUUGCUAUAUAAUAGCUUUUCACAAUUUAUUUCACAUUUCAUUAUACAAUUGCAUUAUCCAUUCCACAUAUUUGCAACAUAUUUCACAUUCUAUUUUCAAUUCACUCUUUCACUUCCAUUUCUUACAUCAUUUCAUUUCAAUAUCAAUUGUAAGACUUUAUUAUUCAUUUACCCCUAUUAACAUGACUCAAACUCGAACGAAUACACGGAUCCAACCAAAACACAAUAGUUUGGCACCUAGUGCCUCAUCAAAUAAUUUGAAGUAAUAUGUUGACGCCCAGUGUCUCGUCGGGUAAACCGAAGUAAAUUGGCACCCAGUGCCUCAUCGAAUUAAUCCGAAGUAAUAAAUUGACACCCAUCGUCUCAUCGACUUGAAGUCAAAGAAAUCCCUGAACUCUUCCAAUCCUAUGGCAUGUCAUCUAUAUACAACUCAGCUCGAUACAAUUAUUAGGGUUUAAUUUCACAUUUCAGAUACAAUUAAUAUCCAAUACUGAUUUUCAAUAUAAUCACAUAAUUGCACAUAUAAUCAUUUCAAUUCAAAAAUCAAUCCAUUCAAUAUAUACAUAUAUAUAUCUACCAAUUCAAUUCAUUCAUUCAAUUAUCAAAAUAUCAAUUACUUACCUCAACACUUACCAUGUACAUUAAAUAAAAAUUACAACAAUUAAUAAUUAGUUUCAGAUUAUAGAAAUACAAACCAGAACUUCCGAGCUAUUCCUCUUCGACUUUAUCUUUUCUCUUUUUAGUCGAAGUUUCCGGCACAACGUUACCAAUUGAGCUUUGAACCCUUGAAACCCUAAUUCUCUUUCUUUCUCUUUUUCUUUCUUGAAACCCUAAUUCUCCUUCUUUCUCUUUUUCUUUCUUUCUUCUCUAUUUCAAUCUAUCUUUCUGUUCUUUUUCUAUUUCAUUUCUUUUAUUUAUUUCGUUAUUAUAUUAUAAUAUAAUAUAAUAUAUAUUUACUUAACUUUUAUAUUUUAUUAUAAUAUUAUAAUAUACAUUUUUUAACUUUAAAUUUUUAAUUAAAUACAUACUUAUGCCGUCUCAAUUUAUGCAAUUGGCAUAAUUGCUUAUUUAGUCCCUUUAAUUUUUUUAAUCUAUAAUUCAACUUUCACCGUUUAUGAAAUUUAGUCCUUAUACCUAAUUACUCUUAAUUCAUGCAAAUUCACCUAAUAAAAACCUAAUUAACCACACAACUAGCUUCAUAAAUAUUUUUAAUAAAUAUUUAUGAGUCCGGUUUAUGGUAACGGAGUCUCAAAGAUGUAUUUUUCGACACCCGCGACUAUCGAGUCGUUACAACUUCCCUUUCCUCAAAUUUCAUUACAACUAUGAAUUUACCCUUUCAUUACCUUUAUUCACCAAUUUCAUAUGCAUAACACACAAGUUAUAAGCAUAACAUCAACCAUGACUACAAGCUAGUACAUUUAAACAUAACUCCUUUGGAAUCAACCACAUAAUCAACCAUUGCAUAAGAAAUUACAUACUUGGAUUUAUUCCACCUUUCAUGGACAUAAGCACAUUAUCAAUUAAGCACUUACCGUUUCAAUGUAUUUCAUUAAGAUUAAACAUGAUAUAAUUCAAUCACCAACUUGGCACAAGCCUAAGCACCAACAACAACACAUGUUAGCAUAAUUGAAUAUAAUUCAUGUGAACUUAACAUAAAUAAUCAUUAUACUUGAGUAUGAUCCAAUUGGAUUUAUCAUCCUUCAUAACAUAUCAUGUUUUCCAUGUAUCACCAUUUUAAUAAAUUUCAUAUACACAUGCCUUGGUUCAUAUUAAACACUUACCAUAGCCACAAGCUAAUGAGUAAACACAUAACUUAGCCAUAUCAUCACAUGGUAAGAUAUAGUACAUAAAUAUAGCAUCUCUUAAAUCAUACCUUUCAUAUUCAUGAAUACUCAUACUUUAAUCAUUGGCACAUCAUACCUUUCCAUAUUUGUCGUAGUGAAGUCAAUUGAAACCCUUAUCAGAGCUCACACAAAGUGUGCUAAACGAUGGUCGAAACCAUCCCUUUUCUAUAAUCGAUAAAUACUUUGAAGAUGAUUGAAACCCUGGUACACAUUUCCUUUAUGCUAUAGUCUAACUAUGGUCUUACAUAUGCAUUUCCAUGGCCCUGCCAUGGUUUUACAUUUGUAGUGCCAUAACCCAGUUAUGGUCUUAUCAUCAGAAUGUCAUAGCCUAGCUAUGGUCUUACAUAUAAACACUGUCGUGGUCCAACCAUGGUCUUACGUCCAUAGUGCCAUAACUUAGUUAUGGUCUUAUCAUCAGAAUGCCAUAGCCUAGCUAUGGUCUUACAUAUAACCAUUGGACCAUGGUCUUAUGUUUGAACAAUUGCCAUAGUCUUAUUAUGGUCUUACGUGCGAAUGCAACCUGUCUCCUUUGAUAUAAGAAAUUAUCAUUUUCGUAACUUUUUACAAUUCUUGUUCUAUCAAAAAAUAAAUUUAAUAUAAGUAAUUUUACAUCAUUUAAACUUUAAUAUUCAUAAACACUUAGAGAUAUAAUUGAGUUCAUAUUAAUGAACUUACAGAGCUAAUUUGCAGUAAUGGCUCCAAGUUUCUCAAUCAAUGAUCGACGUAAUAUCAAUUCACUAUUUUCGUUUUCAAUUACACACUUCAAUGUAAUCUAAUAUUAUUCAAUUAGGUUAAUAUAUUUCACUUAAAUAUAAAUUAAAAUUAAACCGAAUGAACUUACCUAGCUAAAUUGUAGAAAUGACAAAGUACAUGGGCAUUUUGGUAGUUUUCUAUUCUCCUUGAUUUUCCACUCGAUCUUGAUCUAAAUUAAUAAUUUCAUUCAAUCUAUUAAUUUAGAUAGUAAAAAAAUUUCUUUUAUGCAAUUUAUUCACUUUUGACAUUUUUACAAAAUUACCCCUAAAGUUUUACUUUUAUUCAAUUUAGUCCCUGAGCCAUUAACCAUUUUUUCCCAAAUUGAGCACAUCGUAAUACUUAUUCUAUCCUAUACAGCCCAUUCAUGCAAUAAUUUUACAGAAAAUUCUUGUAUUUUUACUAUUUUAACAAUUUAGUCCCUAAUCGAUAAAUUCAUCAAAAAUUACUUAAUAAAAUACUUUUAAAUAAAAAAUAAUAUUUCAAAUUCAUCAUUGAACAUAUAAAAUCACAAGGUUCAACAAUGGAAACAUUCAAAAUCUUUAACAUUUUCAAAAUCGAAGGUACAAGUUAGCUGGACCUAGUUGCAACGAUCUCAAAAACAUAAAAAUUAUUAAAAAAUAGAGCCAAAAUCACAUACCAUGCAAUAGGAAACCACCACGGACUAACCUAACUUAAAACCUCCAUGGAAAUUUGAUUCUUUGAAGAAGAAACUAAAAAGAUGAUAACCAAUUAACCUUUUGUUUUUAUUUUAUUUUAAUUUAAUAAACCAAAUUACCAUUUUAACCUUGGUUAAUAAAUAAUUAAAACACCAAUUUCAUUCCUAUAAUUGUCUACUAACUCCUUAAAUGGUAUAAUUACCAUUUAAGUCCCUUUUCCUUUAUUCAAUAAGUCAUUUAAUCACUCAAAUCAAAUAGUGAUCAAAUUUUACAUCUUUUAUGUUUUAGUCAUUUUUAAUUAAUUAACUAUGGAAACGUUAAAUUUUUUCAAUGAAACUUAAAUACCAUCUUAAUGACACUCCGUAAAUAUUUAUAAAAAUAUUUACGACUCGGUUUAUAGAAACGAGGUCCUUGUACCUCAUUUUCUAAACCUAUUUGACCUUAGGGUCUUACCACUUGAACUUAUUAAAUCAUUUAUAUAACAAAAAUCACUAUAUCAAAAACCUUUUUUAAAAUCAUGUUUGACUCGUAAAUAUUAAAUAAUAAUAUUUAUGAACUUACUCAUCGGAUUUAGUGGCCCCGAAACCACUGUUUUCGACACUAUUGAAAAACGAGCUGUUAUAUAAGCUACUAAGGCAUUGUUUUAAUAUUUUCAGAAUAUCAAUAUUUUCAUAUAAAAACUAGUUUAAAAAUUUAAAACAAUGUACAAAACAAUAGCUAUUACAAUACGAAACAAUGAUUCCAUUCAUAAUUUUAACUCGCCAAAUCAAGAUUCAUGCUCCAAUAAAUGUCUCCACAAGGAGACCUAACUUCAAAAGCACUCAUAAAGUUAUUAUUUUGUCAUCAUCCACACUUUCAUAAUCAUUAAUAUUUAUAAACUAUAAUGUAUUCAAUUCAAUAAUAAUAAAUCAAGUAUAAAUAAUAUUAAUUUUAAAUAAAAAAUUUCAUAAGUUUUCUAUAUAUCUUAGCACACAAAAUACUCAAAAGUUGUUGGAGAAGUUUAGUUCUAACUCAAUCCACUAGUUUUUCCUUUCAUUUGCUAGUGUUAGUUUUUUCUUCUUUAAUUUCUUCAUAAUUGAAAAAAAAUAUCAUAAAUAAUAAAAUAUUAAAUAGUCAUUAAUAUGGCUCAACAACACCCAAACUUAAAAUAAACAUGAUUUUGUGCAUAAAUGAAAUGUAAACUAUAAAACCCAAACCUUAAUCACAUCAUUUCACCUUCUUAAUGCACUUUCUCACUUUAGAGGUCAAACCCUAACCCAUAACUUCUUGGGUGAUGGAGAUGAUGAGGGAUAUGACUCAAAAAGGGUUUAAUAGUAAAGGUUUUACAAGAAAUUGUUAAAAAAAUGAUUAGUAUUUGGAAGAGAAAUGGGUGAAUGUUGAGGAAAAUAUAAGAAAAAUGAAGAAUUAUGGAUAAUGUUCUUCUCUUUUAAGGUGGCUGGCUUGUGCGGAGAAGAGAUGAUAU
Molecule: long non-coding RNA, 4720 nt
Filed under: Gossypium barbadense (sea-island cotton)
Lineage: Eukaryota; Viridiplantae; Streptophyta; Magnoliopsida; Malvales; Malvaceae
Description: long non-coding RNA (GBAR_LNC006368)
Source: RNAcentral